Long non-coding RNA from Monodelphis domestica (gray short-tailed opossum), 384 nucleotides. The record is from Ensembl. Lineage: Eukaryota; Metazoa; Chordata; Mammalia; Didelphimorphia; Didelphidae.
AUGACAAAUCAGAAACAACUGACAGACCCCCUUGGCUGUCCAAAGUCAAGCUUAAGCUACCAUUGGUACAUGUGGGACACAGGAAGUGAUGUAACAAAAGUCUAUAUAUUCGCGUCACUUCCUCUUGCCAUGCUCUUUUUGGCGAUGGAGGAGUUGAGUUUGGGGUCUCUCUCUCAGAGAUGCUGGGUUCGAAUUGCAGUGUGGCUCGUUGGUGUCUUGGUGUCUGAGCAUGGGUCAGGAGUGUUCAUAUCUUGUACCAAGCUUAUACCUAAUUUACAGGGUAGGUUUGAGUCCAUGAAAAUAAGAAAAUGCAUUCUAACUAAAUUCUCUGAAGAAUUAUAUGUCACUCCCAGGGAAAAACUGACGUUUGUUCAAGAUGUUUGA